Molecule: ribosomal RNA, 730 nt
Filed under: Streptomyces sp. YIM 65616
Lineage: Bacteria; Bacillati; Actinomycetota; Actinomycetes; Kitasatosporales; Streptomycetaceae
Description: bacterial SSU rRNA
Rfam family: Bacterial small subunit ribosomal RNA
Source: RNAcentral
UGCAAGUCGAACGAUGAAGCCCUUCGGGGUGGAUUAGUGGCGAACGGGUGAGUAACACGUGGGCAAUCUGCCCUUCACUCUGGGACAAGCCCUGGAAACGGGGUCUAAUACCGGAUAUGACCGUCUUGGGCAUCCUUGACGGUGUAAAGCUCCGGCGGUGAAGGAUGAGCCCGCGGCCUAUCAGCUUGUUGGUGAGGUAAUGGCUCACCAAGGCGACGACGGGUAGCCGGCCUGAGAGGGCGACCGGCCACACUGGGACUGAGACACGGCCCAGACUCCUACGGGAGGCAGCAGUGGGGAAUAUUGCACAAUGGGCGAAAGCCUGAUGCAGCGACGCCGCGUGAGGGAUGACGGCCUUCGGGUUGUAAACCUCUUUCAGCAGGGAAGAAGCGCAAGUGACGGUACCUGCAGAAGAAGCGCCGGCUAACUACGUGCCAGCAGCCGCGGUAAUACGUAGGGCGCAAGCGUUGUCCGGAAUUAUUGGGCGUAAAGAGCUCGUAGGCGGCUUGUCACGUCGAUUGUGAAAGCCCGAGGCUUAACCUCGGGUCUGCAGUCGAUACGGGCUAGCUAGAGUGUGGUAGGGGAGAUCGGAAUUCCUGGUGUAGCGGUGAAAUGCGCAGAUAUCAGGAGGAACACCGGUGGCGAAGGCGGAUCUCUGGGCCAUUACUGACGCUGAGGAGCGAAAGCGUGGGGAGCGAACAGGAUUAGAUACCCUGGUAGUCCACGCCGU